CAGGGAAUCUUGCGCAAUGGGCGAAAGCCUGACGCAGCGACACCGCGUGGGGGAGGAAGGCUUUCGGGUUGUAAACCCCUUUUCUCGGGGAAGAGUAAGGACGGUACCCGAGGAAUAAGCCUCGGCUAACUACGUGCCAGCAGCCGCGGUAAUACGUAGGAGGCGAGCGUUGUCCGGAUUUACUGGGCGUAAAGGGCGAGUAGGCGGCCCGUCGUGUCUCAUGUGAAAUCUCCCGGCUCAACUGGGAGGGGUCAUGAGAAACUGGCGGGCUUGAGGUCAGCAGAGGAGAGUGGAAUUCCCGGAGUAGCGGUGAAAUGCGUAGAUACCGGGAGGAACACCCGAGGCGAAGGCGACUCUCUGGGCUGCACCUGACGCUGAGGCGCGAAAGCAUGGGGAGCAAACCGG
RNAcentral lists this ribosomal RNA (405 nucleotides) under uncultured Actinomycetes bacterium. RNAcentral's name for it is "bacterial SSU rRNA". It matches the Rfam family "Bacterial small subunit ribosomal RNA", at positions 355 to 776 of the family's 1533-position model. RNAcentral also lists the same sequence under 1 other name. Lineage: Bacteria; Bacillati; Actinomycetota; Actinomycetes. The record is from RNAcentral.